This 731-nucleotide ribosomal RNA is filed under the name uncultured Choanoflagellida. Its description in RNAcentral is "bacterial SSU rRNA". It matches the Rfam family "Eukaryotic small subunit ribosomal RNA", at positions 426 to 1142 of the family's 1831-position model. Lineage: Eukaryota; Choanoflagellata. The record is from RNAcentral.
CAGCAGGCGCGUAAAUUACCCAAUCCCAAUCCGGGGAGGUAGUGACAAGAAAUACUGAUAUUGAUCCCUACGGGAACAAUGAUUGGAAUGAGAACAAUUUAAAAAACUUAACGACUAACAAUUGGAGGGCAAGUCUGGUGCCAGCAGCCGCGGUAAUUCCAGCUCCAAUAGUGUAUAUUAAAGUUGUUGCGGUUAAAAAGCUCGUAGUUGGAUUUCGGGGAGUUUAAGUUAUAGAUUGUAAUUCCAAUGGAAUUAUGUAUUUAUUAUUUAUUCUUUCCUUCCCUUUAUUACCUUGAUUCUUUAAAUUUUAAAGAAUUGGAGUAUUAAAUAGUUUACUUUGAAAAAAUUAGAGUGUUCAAAGCAGGCAUAAUUGUACAUUGAAUAUUACAGCAUGGGAUAAUUAAAUAGGACGUUUCAUCUUAUUUUUAUUGGUUUGAAAGAUGGAAUUGUAAUGAUAAAUAGGGACAGUCGGGGUUACUUGUAUUUGAUCGCUAGGGGUGAAAUCCUAUGAUUGAUCAAAGACAAACUACUGCGAAAGCAUUUAACAAGGAUGUUUUCAUUAAUCAAGAACGAAAGUUGGGGGAUCGAAGAUGAUCAGAUACCGUCGUAGUCUCAACUAUAAACAAUGUCGACUUUGGAUAAAGAAAUAUUACAUGGAUGAUUUUCUUUGCACAAACUAGAGAAAUCUUAAGUAUUCAGACUCCGGGGGGAGUAUGGUCGCAAGAGGUAAA